This 72-nucleotide transfer RNA is filed under the name Camelus bactrianus (Bactrian camel). It matches the Rfam family "tRNA". Rfam says of the family: Transfer RNA (tRNA) molecules are approximately 80 nucleotides in length. Their secondary structure includes four short double-helical elements and three loops (D, anti-codon, and T loops). Lineage: Eukaryota; Metazoa; Chordata; Mammalia; Artiodactyla; Camelidae. RNAcentral also lists the same sequence under 1 other name. The record is from Rfam by way of RNAcentral.
GAGGGUAGAGCUCAGUGGUAGAGCAUGUGCUCAGCAUGCAUGAGGUCCUGGGUUCAAUCCCCAGUACUUCCU